UCGAUGGCUAGCGGGGAAACUGCAAGUGUUUGCCAAGUUGUCUUCUCGCAUUGGGUGUCUGGCCCGUCAGCGCAUUACGUCUGCGGAAAUGCGUUUUUAUACUCUACUUUGCAGCUCAUCACGGUUAUACGAGUUGUAUUUUUCUUCCUAAUGAUCGCCUGCAAUGCUGUCAUGUGGACAAUAUUUACAAAGGCAUUACGUCUUUGCACUACGACCUUGGAGGCUGCAGCGACCAACACGGCAUCGAACUUUUUCUUUACCGCGGCAUCAACCCGGCCUGUCCGUGCUGUGGACAUCCCAGAUGCACUCUUAAGCACAUGCUCUGGCAGUGCCUCGACUUGCGCGGGGGCUCAGGGUCUCCCUCUUUGGAGGAAGACUGGCUCCGGCUCGUCACAAGCUCCUCCAAGGAAGAGCAACUCAGGGCUGUCCAGAGAGCCCGCAAUAUCGCCGAGAGCCUCAACCUCCCGGCUCCGUCGUGGGUGCGGCCCACAGACGCUGCGCCCUAAUGGGGGCACUCAUCGUCUUCUCAGGAUCAAAAUAAAAGUUCUUUGUCUGUCUGUCUGUCUGUCUGUCCUCUUAAACUGGAGCCCUCCGGUGUGGUGUCCCUCAUAACCAACUCUGCCAGUUUCAGGACAUCAGACCCAUAAUUUAAAAUUGUCUAUUUGCUUCAUAUUUCCUGCUGUGUAUCCCUAGAGGUGUCAUCAUGAUAACUUUGCUAGAUGAGUAUGAAGCUCUUCAUAUUCUGCAAACUUGUGCUUAUUUUCACAUUUUGUGUGUGGGGCCACUGAAGUUUAUGGUCCCAAGUUUAAUGCUAUGGCACCGUACAGUUUGUGCUGCAUGAUCUACUCCAUGGCGAAGUAUAUUUUUUUCUGGCAUUUGGCAGCUGUAUUCCUGUGGGUGGAAGUGCGACUAUAGUAAGUGUGGCUUUUUUUGCUUACUUGAAGAAAGGUCAGUGAGGAUAUAGGCCAAGGUGCUGACUUUGUGCUAUGGAUCUGUUGAGGCCAUGGCAACAAAGACAAAGAAUUGCUGAUUCCAGACUGUGGUUGCACGUGUGUGUGUGUGCCUUGUGUCUCAACUUUUUUCUGUUUUCCCAAUAAGUGCCCCCAUAGUCCAGUGGUGAGCAUAUGUUGGUCAUUGAGCUUUUUGUGAAAAGAGUUUAGAGAGGCAAAUAUGUGCCUGAAUAUGUAAAGCUAAGACAAGGAAGGAAUAGUGGAAAGCCUCAGAAACCGAGAUGUCACAAGAAGGUAUGAGGAACUUCAGACAACUUAAGAUGGAUGCAUAAUUCUAAUUUCUUAUUAUUUUCUGAUUAACAUAAUGUAAACCAUCCGAAAAUUUCUUGAGUGUAGUGUUAUGUCCUAAGGUGCAUCAAUAUGCAACUAAGCCCAAUAGUAUUUUCGAACAAAACCUAUUUGUAAUUGUUAUUUAUGACUGGAAAAAGUUAUUUGUAGAUAUGUUCAAGUUUAGGCAAAGAGCAAUAAUUUUAAAGCAACAUUGAAUUGUGAUAUUAAAAAAAAAAAAAUUUUAAAUGGCGCAAUGGCUUUCAGGAAAAAUUUAGUACAUAUCAGGCAGAUAAUUUUAACGGAUGCCUUGUAACAAGCUGGUGCUGAUUGUGAGAAGUGCCAGAAAUAUAACAGCUUAUCAUGGGUGGUAAGGUUGAUGAGAUUCCUUUACUACUCAUGCAUUGUGACUAGUAUAUGACUUUUCCUGACCUUGGCACCAUGUUCUAGAACCUUUUGUGGGUUUUGUUAAACACUGCAAUACCUGUUAUUUGUAGCAGAGCAAUUAAUGAUCACAUCUAUAAACGGUUUUGGUAGCAUAUGGCAUUGCUCUUACUCCUAACACAUUGCAGUGCCAUAUUUGAAGAAGCAAGGUGUUUCUUUGUAACAUUUUGGGCACAUUCCAGGUGAGCAGUUACAUAAAUUUCUCUCUUCUACUCAUGUUCAGUCUACACUUCGGCAAGUUGUUUGCGAUGGGUGCCACAGUCACGUAUAAGGUGUGUCAACAGACAGUGUGAAUGUUUUAUUGCUGUAGAUGCGUAGCACUUCAUGCAAAACCUGCGAAUGAAUUGUAGCAGUAUUGGAUUUCUGCAGCUAGCAUUACAAAAUAUGAACAUGUGCAGCACUAUAGGCAAUAUGAAAACUUUUAUGAAAGCCACUGCUAAGCAGAAGUGGCCAUGAUGUAGAAGUUGGGUAAUUCAAAAGUUGCCACCAGAGACAGUUGACACCAGCUUCAUGUUUCCACUGUGGCAUCAAAUUUUUAGCUGCAUAAGGUCAUGGGCAUGUGACUGACACAAACAACCCCUUCUUUAUUGAGAAAAGGCUUCCAUUGUUUCCCAGGUGAACCGUUAUGUUCAAGCUAACUACUUCAGAAAUCAUGUUAUUUGAACAUUCAUUUUGAAACCGUUGAUCACUUGUAUGCUUACGGUGUGUGGCAUUUCAUUCUCCCAUAGUUACGUGUACCUAUGCCACUCUUGUAAAUAUGCUAAUGUGAAAUAAGUGGGGCUCUGGCGAUAUCAGGUAUUAAAGAGGAAAAAAAAAGGGAAAGCAUGUGUACUGGUUUUACGUCUCAGUAAAAAGUAUAUUGAAUCCAAUUGUUUUAGGCCUGUAAACACAGUUGCUCACUAUUGAUUUUAAAUGUGAUCUCCCAAAGCCAAGUUGAUCAUAUGCACUUGAAUUGUGUUUUAGCAGAUGACCCAGUUAGACCAAUUGAGUGUCUGACUGCGUCAAUUUAUAGUAUGUUAUCUCUUUCACAAUAUGUACAUAUUGUUCCAAUGUUGAAUUAUGUUAACAGGCAAAAUAAUGGAGUCUUCUUUCACUAAUAGACUAUCUGUGCAUUUAUUUUUCUCUUGUUAUCUAGCAGUGACAACAGUUUUAUAGAAAGACCACGAAAUUAGUAUAUGGCAGUUCCACAUGAUCCUUUUCAUGUUGUGGUGACUGUUUCACUUAGUGGUCUACUUUUGCUUGCUUUAGGUACAGGGGCUGUGAGUUAGUUUAGACUGCCUGCAUUUUUUAAUGUACACCCAGGUCUUAGAUGCAUGAGUGUGUUGUCAUUAGGCCUCAACCAUAUAGUGUGGCAGCCAUGGCUGGGAAUUGAAUCCAUCAUCUGCUCAGUAUCAGAAUGGUGGUUGGUUUCACCUUUAUAUGAAUGAGUAUAGCACUUGUCUGUGUCUGUUCCUCUCUGUGGUAUGCUUGUGUUGAGCUGCAGUGUUUAAAUAUGAAGGUGCGGCAUCUGUCUUGUUUUGUGUCCCGCACUUGUUCACAGCCUUGGUAACAAGAAUUUGGUUUACUACUUCUGUGAGGUAUAGUUGUCAGCUGGUCUGCUCAACAACAUGAGUGGACCAAAAAUUAGGGCUCCUUUUGUAAACAAAAGGAACCACAGUUUACUGCAUGCUGAGUAACAUUUUGUAAUAAGACUACUAAAAGAUUUUUUAUUACAAAAUAAAUGCUUGCAAUUAGUUUCA
This is a long non-coding RNA of Dermacentor andersoni, 3460 nucleotides long. RefSeq lists it as uncharacterized. The record is from RefSeq and is a predicted model, not a curated record. NCBI's taxonomy places the organism in Eukaryota, Metazoa, Arthropoda, Arachnida, Ixodida, Ixodidae.